RNAcentral lists this ribosomal RNA (4419 nucleotides) under Triticum aestivum (bread wheat). RNAcentral's name for it is "partial small subunit ribosomal RNA". Lineage: Eukaryota; Viridiplantae; Streptophyta; Magnoliopsida; Poales; Poaceae. The record is from RNAcentral.
AUGGCUCUCCUCUCGAGCGCCCGCUCCCCUCCACCCAUCCCGCCGCCCACCGCCGCGGGCCUGGCCGCCGCUCGCCCGGCGUUCGUGGAUGCGGUGUCCGGCCGCGUCCUGCCUUGCGUGGCGCUCAGGGACUCCGCUGUUGACCCGGCCCCGGAGUAUGUGGACCGAAUCUCCGGCCGCAUCUUCCCCUGCGUGGCGUUAAAUGCGGCGGUGCGCGGUGCGCCCCCCUUGGUAAGCUCAGUCUUGGCUCCAUCCUCCCGUUCCGGUCCUCUGCCUCCUCCGCAUCCGGAGACUGCAGGCUCCUCCCCCGCCCCGUCCUGGGCUGUGCUGGCUGCGCCCCGCCAUCCCCCCAUCAGAUCCAUUAUUAUGGCUCCGAAUGCGGGGAUUCUCUCUGCGUCGGCGAUCUCCUCUGCGCCGGCCGCUGGCUCCGGACAGGCGCGCGUGCCUGCUUCCCGCCAGGAGUGCCCCUCUCCCGCUGUGGCUGCUGUGAGCGCCAUUAAUCCCGAGGGGGAGGAUGGGUGGGAGACGGCGUGCUCUCGGCGUGCUCGGCGCCUGGCGAAGCGCCAGGGAGAUCCUCCGCGGCAGAGUCCAAAGGAUUCGCUCCGUCUCAGGGAGUGUGCUCGGGCUGCCGCUGUGCAAGCAUUCAAGAUGCGUUUUGGCAAUUGCUGCUUCCGCUGUCUCGCCUCUCGCCAAAAAGCUUUUGAAUGCCGCGACCCCGCAAUUUGCUACACUUGCAGAAAGACUGGGCAUCUUGAGCGCUCGUGUCCAGUUCGUCUUGCAAAAGCCAAAGCCAAAGCUCCAGCACCUGCUCGUCCCGCCUCCGCCGCACCGCAACGUAGUUCAUCUCCUCCAACACUGCCCCUCAUUUCCAACUCCUCUGCAACCGGUCAGUCUGUGUCACCGCCCCUUCUGCCGGAGCCCGCUACGCAGCUUACGUCGCUCGCUGCUGCUCGGAGGCCUGUGCGGUGGGCCAUGGAGUUCAUCCCCGGUGCCUCGGAGCGGAGGCCGACCACGUCGAGCUGUACGGUGAUGAGCACCCCGUCGAUGGAGGAGGAGGCGUAUCAGCUAAGGACCAUGUCGCUGCUCCUCACUGCCGCGGGUGACUGCUCGGCCAUCACGCCGGACAUGAUUGCUCGUGUGGUGGCGCAUGAGCAUCGGUUCGACCUCCGGGACAUCUCCAUCGCGCCGUGCUUCCCUGAAGACUACAUCAUCACCCUGGCCGACCAUGUCCAGCGCGACCUGGUCUAUGAAGGGCGUGUGAUCGAGGUGGCGGGGGUCCGUUUUGAGCUCCGGCCAUGGUUCCCGCCGGCGGGCGGCAACAAGGUAUGGAGGUUCUACUGUAGAGUAGUGAUUGAUCGUUUGUCGUUGAAUGCUUGGGAUUGGGACACCGUCCAGGAAGUGGUUGGGAAGAACUGCUGGCUUGAUUUGAUUGAGCGGCAGUCCAAGACCAAGAGGAACAGAUCUGCUCUCUUUGCUUGGGUAUGGACAUGGAACCCGGACAUGAUACCAAGGGCGUCUGAUUUCAACGUGCUGCAGCGGCAAGAUGUGAUCAGGUCCAGAGACUCGAGGCCGGAAGGAGUGCCGGUGGAGGAGGGCUUGGAGGGGCCGGACUUCCCGGUGCUCAUCCACCUUGAUGUGGUUAAGGAUUACACUCCCCUGUCUCCUUCGGCGAGCCCAGAUAAUGGAGUGUAGACAGCGCAUCAUCAGCUGGUGGGCCAAGAAAGAGUGUUUGUCUCCCCUUCCUUGGAGGUGUCCCAGGUCCAAGACAGCACCACCUUUGCCCCGGUGAGACAGGCCGACCAGCAAAGCACGGAUGAGGAGCUCAAUGAUGCGCGCAGUGUCGCCACUUUGCUAGACCAGCAGCUGAUGCAAGACAGCCAAGGACCAUCCAUGUUGCCUCCUCAGGAUCUGACUGCGCGAGCGCUUGGGAACUCCCAGCUUGUAACCGAUGGUUGGAUUGGAGACCUCACGGGAUGGGGAUCUGGCUCUGGUGGGCUUAUGCCUCUGUUCUCACCGCCCAGACAGCAGCAGCUGUAGUACCCGAGCUUUGAACUACCUCCGCUGCCACCAUCUCUGAGCCGCUGGGAACUGACGGACGCGACCUCGCCACGACUGUGUACACCGCAGAUGACGACUAUCUGGGAGUCGGCUGCCUUCUCGUUUGGCCCCUGCUGGUUACCAAACUGGGUUGAGGCCCAGGCGGACCUGCCGGUUAGAGAGCCCAGCUGGGCUGUUGGACCGGAGGUGAUUUUUAGGCCUGGGGUGGCUGAAAUGCGUGCGCGGAGGGCGCUUAAGGAGGCCAAUCUCUCUGGCCCUGGUCUCAUCUCUACGAUUACAGAAGAGAAUGCAAGACUGAAUAUUGAUGAGCAGCGGCGGUUCAUUAACAAAAUAGCUGCUCUGCUGUCCUCCUCCAUCCUUGGCGCUCCUCCAGCCUUGUCUUCUCCACCACCUCGCAAGCUGAAGCAGCGGCUGCUUCGAGUUGUUUCAGCUUCUCGCCAGAGCUCGCGCCUGCAACACCUUGGCUCCAACUUAUCUUCUUCAAGGCGUGCUCAGGCUGAGAUCAGCACCCGGCUUGGGUUCAUCAAGCGUCCCGAGGACUUCAACGACGACACCGUGCUUGAGUACAUUCAGUUCUUCCGUGCCCUGAUGCCACCGGCUAACAUAGCCAAGCUGGCCGAGAUCGCGGGCUUGUCCUCGCCUUCUCAGCUUUCACUGCCUGAUGCUGAGCUGCAAGCCAUCUUUGAUGAGCUUGCUGGGCAUUGGGAGCUUUUGUUCCCGGCCGCCAAGCUGCUACCUCAAGCUUCCUCCAUUUCCGAUCAUUGCCCGCUUCUCCUUCGCAAUGACGCGGUGCUAAAAACCAAUAGGAGGUUUAGGUUUGAGUCCUACUGGCUAUUUGUAAAUGGGUUCAAGGAUCUAGUGGCUCAGUCCUGGGCUGAGUCGGCUGGGGGGAGAUGCCCUAUCGCUGCGCUCAAUGUUAAACUAUGGCGACUUAGCAAAGCUCUUCGGGCUUGGAGCAAGUCAAUUGUUGGGGAUAUCCAGAAGCAGAUGCAUAUUGUUAAUGAGAUUAACUUGCAGCUUGACAUGGCUCAGGAUCACAGGCAGCUAUCUGCUGAGGAGAGCAGUCUUCGAGCCGAGCUCAAGUCUCGCUCCCUCGGGCUUGCAGUGCUGCUCAAAGUGGACCUUGAGCCGCUGGUCCUCAAGUUUGGGAACAGAAUGGCUGUUUGGAGGGGCGGCAUGAUGGCUAAGAGUGGGCGGCUCACACUCCUCAAAGCAAAUCUAGCCUCUCUUGCCGUUUACCUAAUGACGGUGCACAGCCUACCCAAGUGGGUCAUCAAGCGGCUAAUCCAACUCUGUCACGCGUGGUUAUGGAAUGGGGAGAAUGUUUGCAACAAUGGUCAUUGUCGAGUUGCAUGGAAUUUGCUGUGCCGCCCCAAAGUUUUGGGAGGCUUAGGUGUGAUGGAUUUCGCUAAGUUCGGCGUGGCGCUCCGUCUCCGCUGGAUGUGGUUAGCUUGGCAAGACCCAACCAGGCCAUGGGUGUGUGGGCCCCUGCCAUGCAAUUCGAAGGAGGAAGAGCUUUUUGCAAUGGCAACGGAAAUCUCACUUGGUGAUGGUGCACGGGCCAGAUUUUGGCAGGAUAGAUGGUUGAAAGGGCAGUGCCCCAAAGUUAUUGCACCAUCCCUUUUUGCUGCCUCCACAAGGAAGAAUAGGACGGGUUGUGAGGCUUUGGCAAAUGAGCGGUGGCUCCUGGACCUUGCAACGGGUCUCACGGCAGACAUGCUUCAUGAGCUUGCAGCGUUGGCAGGCUUGCUGGAUGACGUGGAGCUUCGGCAGGAUCAACCGGACACCAUCCGAUGGAGGUUCGCGUCUGACGGCAAAUAUACUGCCCAUUCAGCCUACUUGAUUCAGUUUGAGGGAUCGAUCCCCCUUAAUGGCCAUCAGCUAAUUUGGUCUGCAUGGGCGCCGGGGAAAUGCAGAUUCUUCAUAUGGGCUGUCUUUCUUGGUAAAAUUCUCACGGCUCACGCUCUCCUGCGUUGGGGUUGGGAGAACUGCUACUUUUGCCCUUUGUGUGUGCGCAACCUGGAAACCCCCCUCCACCUCCUCGUGGAUUGUCCGUGGUCUAGAUCCAUCUGGGAUGGCAUUGCGUCGAUGGCCAAUUUGCCGUCACUGAACACGGCCACAUGGAGCGCCACCUCCGCCUUCAAGGACUGGAUGUUGGAGCGCAACGCACUGACGCCGCCGGCGAGAAGAAAGGGCUUGAUCUCUCUCGUUCAUUUGACGGCGUGGGAGAUUUGGCGUGAGAGAAACCGACGGCUAUUCCAGCAGGAGGCAAUGACUAAAGCUGCAUUCAAGCGCAAGGUCAUGGAUGAAAUCAAGAUGUGGAACAUGGCUGGUGCUGGCAUACCUUUUGAUCCAGGCUGA